This 253-nucleotide ribosomal RNA is filed under the name uncultured bacterium. Its description in RNAcentral is "partial 16S ribosomal RNA". It matches the Rfam family "Bacterial small subunit ribosomal RNA", at positions 524 to 776 of the family's 1533-position model. The record is from RNAcentral.
UACGGGGGGGGCAAGCGUUGUUCGGAAUUACUGGGCGUAAAGCGCACGUAGGCGGAUUGUUAAGUCGGGGGUGAAAUCCUGGAGCUCAACUCCAGAACUGCCUUCGAUACUGGCGAUCUCGAGUUCGGGAGAGGUGAGUGGAACUGCGAGUGUAGAGGUGAAAUUCGUAGAUAUUCGCAAGAACACCAGUGGCGAAGGCGGCUACCUGGACCGGUUCUGACACUGAGGAGCGAAAGCGUGGGGAGCGAUCCGG